UACGUAGGGCGCAAGCGUUGUCCGGAAUUAUUGGGCGUAAAGAGCUCGUAGGCGGUUUGUCGCGUCGGAUGUGAAAGCCCGGGGCUUAACUCCGGGUCUGCAUUCGAUACGGGCAGACUAGAGUGUGGUAGGGGAGAUCGGAAUUCCUGGUGUAGCGGUGAAAUGCGCAGAUAUCAGGAGGAACACCGGUGGCGAAGGCGGAUCUCUGGGCCGAUACUGACGCUGAGGAGCGAAAGCGUGGGGAGCGAACAGG
Molecule: ribosomal RNA, 253 nt
Filed under: uncultured bacterium
Lineage: Bacteria
Description: partial 16S ribosomal RNA
Rfam family: Bacterial small subunit ribosomal RNA
Source: RNAcentral